Molecule: long non-coding RNA, 1816 nt
Organism: Haliotis rubra (blacklip abalone)
Lineage: Eukaryota; Metazoa; Mollusca; Gastropoda; Lepetellida; Haliotidae
Exons: 2
Source: RefSeq, a predicted model, not a curated record
UGUCUUGGGAGGUGGGGGUAUAUAUACCUACAUGAGGCACUACACUUAAUGUUUUAUGUCUUGGGAGGUGGGGGUAUAUAUAUACCUACAUGAGGCACUACACUUAAUGUUUUAUGUCUUGGGAGGUGGGGUAUAUAUGUUUUACCUACAUUAGGCACUACACUUAAUGUUUUAUGUCUUGGGAGGUGGGGGUAUAUGUAUACAUGCAUUGAGGUACUACACUUAAUGUUUUAUGUCUUGGGAGGUGGGGGUAUAUAUAUACAUACAUUGAGGUACUGCAAAGAAAACAUCUUUAACAAUGUUGAGGAAAUCUAAUGCAAUGCAAACAUGAGUGAUUGUGAGUUUAGUUUUACGCCACACUCAGCAAUAUUCCAGCUAGUUGGCGGCAGUCUGUAAAUAAUCAAGUCUGGACCAGACAAUCCAGUGAUCAACAGCAUGAGCAUCUAUCUUCGCUAGAUACACUUUUACAACAUAGUAAUGGAAUACAAACACAAGGAUUUCAGUGAUACACUCAAACAGCACAGUAAUUGAUGUGAUGGGGUAUAGUCUUGUGUUGAUAGGUCACAGCGUUUCCCCGAUGUACAGUUGUCCACAGUUACACAGAAUCUGGUAGAUGCAUCCUCUUGGGUUGGGGCUUGCAGUGCUGGAUCCUCUGCUUUUGGCUCUCAGUAGAUUCUUGAGGGUCUUGCAACUAGAAAAUGUGACGUCACUCCCCAGGCUUUAUUCUUCAAGAGGUGGGUGAUCUUGUAGCUGAUAGGUCCAAUGUAAGGAAUUGUCACUCUGAUAGGGGAUGGUGCAGGCUAGGAGCUGGCCUCUGUGGUGUUGAGGGUCUUGUUGACAGUUUUAGUGCCCAGGCCAACAGGGUAUCCAUUGAGAGAUGUGAAUGUGUCCUGUAGAUGUUGUAGUUCAUGGCUGAGGGCGUCUGGGUGGCAGAUAGACUUUGCACAUCUCGUGAGGGUGGCUACAAUUGCUUGUUUGAUCUGGGGGUGAUGACAGGAGUUGUAGUGGAUGUACUGGUCGGUGUGUGUCGGCCUGGUUUAGAUGGAAGUUUUGGGGCGUCCAGGGAAACAUCUAGGAAGGGGAGUUGGUGGUCUGUUUCCAUGGUGAACUUGAAUUCUAGGAUGUUGGUCAUUGAGAUGUUGUAAUAGGUGGCCGGGGUGAUGGUCGAGGUGGUGAAGGUGUCGUCAACUUUGCGGUACCAGCAGAAAGGUUGGAAUGGAGCAGUUGAGAGGGCUGCUUCUUUAAAGGAUACUCCCUACCAUUCACCUGAUGAAAGAGCAAGCAUAUUAUGUCAAGACAUUCUAGUACUAAACGAAAAAUGACUCAUGACUGCAAUUUCCACUAAAUGAGUAAUGUUUAGACUAUAUACCCCUUAGGUAGCCACAGGUGGCCCAGUUGUCUAGGUGCAACAAUUCAGUGUCCAAGGUUGCAUCACAAAGUCGUACCAAAAAUUAAUGAGAACGGGUUCAAGACUGAAUGCCUUCUUAUCAUCCUCUGCCACAAAGUGGAACAGGGGAUGUAGAUAUGAGCUCUGUUCAUCCACCUUUCCAUCCAUCCAAUUUCAAUUGGGACAGGUUUUCUUGAAAACCACCAUUUAUACAAGGAAGGCAGACUGCCUACAUCAUUAAGGAACAAACAUGUUGAUCAGUUCUACAACCCAGUGUUAAGGUUACUAUUUUGGAGAGUUAUAGCUCUUGUCAUAUCUUUUAGGACAUGGUGCACUGUACAGUGGAACACUAUGGAUUCAAGGAUGACAUUUUGUAUACAUCAUUAAGAGAUAAAUUGUUGUGGCCCUUGUUUGGUCUUUUGAACAUGG